UCAAGGUGUUUGCACAUUACAUUGUAUUUGUAGUGAUAGGAAUGGAAACUGGAGGUUUCUAUCUAGGAGUUCCUAGGUAUAGAUUGCAUUGGGUAGGGAUUAAGUGAUGAGUUGUAAACGGGGGAGUUUAACUCUGAAUUGAUACUACUAAUAGUGGAUCUUCUUCCUGGCUUGGUAGCCCCCAGAUGUAGGUCAUGUUGGACUGAACUGGGUUAACAAUUUCCUGUGUUGGUUUUUCCUUCUGUAUGAUAUAAUCAUGUCUGCCAAAACUAAGCAGGUAAUUCAGUCUGUUCAGCAAGAUAAUAUCAGAUCUGAUACAUAGCCUUCUGUUGGAAUGUCAAGCAGAAUGUUUUGACAUUCUCCAACAACAGCACAUACUGUUUAAUAAGCUGAUGAAUUCAGUUCAGUAUGUAGUGAAGUCUGGAUUUAAAAAGCAUCACAGACCUGGCCAUAAGAUCAUUGUGAAACUGUCAAACUGGGUGUCUUGACAGUUCUUCCAGUAAGCUGAUACUGAAGUAUAGACUGGUUGGUCUUUUACAGUACAGCAAAUUUAGCCCAGUCUGUUUUCAGGAACCAAACAGACUUAGCAUAUGGUUCUGGACUUGGAUGUCAAACGGGAUGUUGUGACAUUCACUCCUGACUGCAUAUGCUAAAUUGUUGGAUAGUUAGUUUUUCUGUUUCAGGAUUUUUCUCAGGCUAUUCUUCAGGAAUCCACCAGCUGAACUAAAAUCUAGGAAACUAACAACUAAGCUACAAUUAAUGAACCUGGCAAAUAAUAUAUUUGUUAGCUCCUUAAUAAGUGGAGAUUAGUUUAACUUGUUACAACCUUUAAUUUAGGAAAUACAAGUACAUGACCAACAAACUGGAACAAUGUAACAGAUGAUAUCUGUGUAGGAAAACAACAGAAGUGAAGGUUAUGGUACACAUAACAAAUUGUUCCUCCUCUAUAGGAUGACAUAGAAGGAGAGGUUGUGACACUGUGAAAAGGUGCACAAUAGUACAGAGUGUAAUAACUGUCUAGCUGUAAUAAGUACAAUGUUAGAUCAGAUGUCAUGACUUGAAGUAGAACAUCUGAAUACUGACUACACCAGAAUUUCACAUGUGGAUACCUUCGCCUGGUUGUAUCAGGAUAUGCCAGGGUCGGAUACCGAUGUCGUGGUGCACAAGCUACCAUGGAGAGAAGAAUGUCCUCUAGUGAAGCAGAACACCGGUGCCACGUAUCAGAGUGACUUUGUUUCAUGAUAUGAUUCAUCGUGGAAUCAAAUGAUAUGUUGAUGACAUGAUAGCAAAGUCCCAAACAGGAGGAGGGCAUCCGGUAGACCGGGGCAAGUUUUCUGACCGGUCAAGACAACUCAGACUGAGGUUGAGUCCGAAUUAGUGCACUUGGGGAGUGCUGUCCGGUAAAAUACUGAGGCUUAUUGUGAGCGAAUAAGAGGAAUCGAGGUUGAUCCUGCUAAAAAAAAGAAAAGAAAGAAAAGAAAAAGGAAAAAAGCAAUACAGGAAAUGCCUGAACCGAAAAUAAAAGAAGGUUCGUGGUUUCUUAGAUAGAUUGAAUUGCAUUUCACGGUUCAUAUCUCAUCUGAUAGCCACGUGGGAACCCAUUCAAGAAAAAAAGGAACAAACGGUCAGGUGGAAUAUGAUUGCCAAGGGGCAUUGAAAGGUAAAAGAAUAAGUUGCAGGAACCUCUGAUUCUGAUGCCUCAUGUGGAAGGAACAAUUGUUAAUCUGGUACUUGACAGCCCUCGAGGGGUCUAUGAGGUGCGUAUUGUGUCAGCAUGACGAGUCUGGUCGAAAAGAGCAUGCAAUUUACAUUACCAAAAUGUUUAUCGAUUGCGAAACAAUACAUUCACUGCUCGAGAAAACUUGUUGUACUUUGGCAUAGGUUGCUCGCCGACUGGGACAGUAUAUGCUGGUUCAUACCAUUUUGUGGAUGUCCAAGAUGGAUCCGAUCAAGUAUGCGUUUGAGAAGUCAGCAUCGACCGGACGGGUGGCGAGAGGGCAAAUGAUGUUGACUGAAUACGAUAUUCAGUAUACCUCUCAGAAAGCAAUCGAGGGGAGUGUAUUGUCCGAUUACAUCGCCUCGCAACCCAUUGAGGAUUAUCAACCAAGGAAGUCUGAGUUCCCUGAUGAGGACAUCUCGAGGUGCUCAAAUCGAAAGAUUGUGAGGAACCGAUCCCGGAGGAGGGGCCUGACCCUGAAUCCGAACGGAUUCUGAUGUCUGAUGGGGGGAGGUUAAUGUGGAUGAGUUAGUGUCGUUUUGGUUACGCCGAAAAGAUCCCACAUUCCUUUUGUUGCCCGGAUAACAUUUGAAUGCACCAACAAUGGUGGCUGAGUACGAAGCUUGUAUCCUGGGUAUUGAUCUUCGGUGCGUACGUCUACUGGGGCAACGCCGCGCUCGCUCGUGUAUGGGAUAGAAGUGGUAUUACCUACUGAAGUCUAGAUCCCAUUGUGGAGAGUUCUGAUGGGUGAGAAAUUAGAGAAGGCUGAGUGGAUAUGGACUCGGUAUGACGCGUUGAGCCUGACUGAGGAAAAGAGGAUGGCAGUUACUUGUCAUGGGGCAUUUGUACCCAGUGAAUGAAGCCUGUUGUUGACCGAAAAGUGCGACCUCGUGCGUACCCCGUGGGAGAGCUGGUACCGAAAAGGAUCCUUCCUCCUCAACGAUCGUAGGGGCAAGUGGACACACAAUUAUGAAUGCCCACUCGUGGUCAAGAAGGCGUUCUCUGGCAGAGCCUUGUUGUUGACGACCAUGGAUGACGAAGAUUUUCCAUCCCUUGUGAAUGCGGACGCAGUUAAAAAAUACUUCGUAAAAAUUGACCCGCUGGACAAAAAGAAUAAAAGAGUCCAGGCAAAAAAGGGCAUCCCGGCGAACCAAGAAAAAAGAGAAAAGGUUCGGGAAAAAGUUAGGGAUAAAGAAUGAAAAGAAUUUGUACACCCGGCAAGUCGAAAACCCCACAAGGGCGGCUUGGGCAAAAAAGGGUAUCCCGGUGGAUCGAAAACCCGAAAGGGCGGUCCAGGCAAAAGAGGGACUGAAACGAAUAACUGCGUCCAGCACGAUCGUUUGUGCUUGAGAUAUGACUUGGAUAAUCUCCGACAGAGAUCGAUCGGAAGCGUCUUGUUCAGAAGACAGAAAGUGCGGAAAGUCUUGAGGACAUAGGGGGUGUAACCGAGUUGAAACCCGAUGAGAUCACGGUUUCACAUUGCCAUUAGGAUAGAUUUUUCCUUUUGUGCGCGAUCACCUCUUUUCAGGGAUUGCUUCCUGUGUUGCUCGGUCAUGAGCCACCUUUUUUUUCAGUCAAUAAAUGCAUGUUCAGUCAAAUAAUUUUGUUUUUGUCUUCAUUACCUCUUUGAUUGCGAAAACAUCCGUUUAUUUUUUAUAAGAAUAUUUGCAUUUUGAAACAUAGAGGUCCCUUCCGAUGCAUGCUUAUAAGAUUGGAAUCUGGAAAUCUUAUUCGGAAGUUCGAGUGACCUAGGUGUCGAAAUGUUGGCACGCCUGGGGCACGCUUUUAUCUAACGAUCUCUUGUGCAGGUGCUGUUAGAUAUCUUCAUUCACUUGUAGAUUGUGAUGGGUAACAUUUUGAUAAAAGAUCCCUGCAGAGUCCAACCAGGGGCAAGGGAUAGAAGAACGGUGAAGACGGUGAAAGAAUUGCGACUACGAUCCUAGAGGGUAAUCAAGAAGACUCUUCAAAGUCUGAAGAUUGGAGAGUUUGCCCGGAUCCGAGGAGAUCAAUUGUCUCGAAGCAAAGAAAAGACAAGAAUACUGGGUGAUGGAUCAGAAAAGACCGGACGAGUCUGGGAGUCCUCAAAAGUGGGAAGUUGACACUAUGGUUGGAUGGUAAAUGCCAAGGUUAGACGAAUCGAUGAGCGUUCCAUGGUCGUAUCUCCCCAGUGGGUUGGGGAGUGUUAUCUCCCUAGCAGAUUCGAGAUCGGUGUCUCCUCAGCGAGCCUGAAGGUUGCCAUAUCCCCAGUGGAAGGGUCGGUGGGUAGAUUGUUCCUAAGGGUUCAGGAUGUUUCCCCAGCAGGCUUGGAAGGGGCUGUUUCCCCAAGCAAGUCUGAAAGCUGUUAGAACUGUUAUUCCCCAGUAGUCGGGUAGCAGGAUCAAAGGUUAUUCUAUCCCCAGCAGGUCUAAGGAUUUUUAGUUCCCCAACAGGCCCGGGAGUUGGUCUGUCCCCAGCUAGUCUGAAGGCUGUUGGUCUCCACUAAGUCUGAAGGUUGUAUCCCCAGCGGAGGUAUCAGUGAGUAGUUUGUUCCUCAGUAGCGGGGUAUGAAGUACUGUAAUCCUCAGCAUAGUCGUGAAUGCCUUUCCCCAGCAGGGUUGUGAUAUUCUUCCCCAGCAAUUUUGAAGAGGGUAGUUGUCUCAGCGGAGGUUUGUGUUGAUGGUUUUCCCCAACGAGUUCCCCAAGUGGAUCAGGGUCGGAGAAUCCCCAGUAGAGUUAAUCCUGCAUGUGGAUUGGUCGCUGUCCUCAGCAGAGGUGAGCAUUGGUUGUUUCCCUAGCAAAGUCCCCGAGCAGAUUGGAUUCAGUGAAGGUUGUCCCCGGUGGGGUUCUUUCUCCAGCAGCAAUGCUAUUCGCCAGCACGGUUGAGAAGUUGGCGUGUUCCUCAGACAGAGUCUCCCCAGAGUUGACUUGGUUUCCUCUGUCGUCCCCAGAGUUUCAGAUCAGCAAAGCACCCCCAACAGUGCAUCUCCCCACAGAGUUGGAGAAUCCAAUCAGAAGUGUGCGCUCAGGAGAGCGAUCCGUUGGCUCCCCAGCAGGAGUUUUCAUCAUUUUGCAUCUUGCAUGUAGUAAUCAUUGCAUCCUCAAAACGCGUAGCAUUUCCGUUCAACAUGGAGCAUUACGCCAUAGAAAAAUUCAAACAUAUGCAUUCAUGUGUUAAACCUAAUCAGACCAUAUCCCCGGCAGAGGCGGAUCAUUGUUCAACAUCUGUACGGCACAUUUGCUACAGUUGCUCUUGACAGACAGCAUUCAAGGUUGUUUCUCCCCAGUGGGCUCCCCAAUGAGAUCCCCAGCAAGUGUUUAGCCUUGCCUUGACAUAUGUAGAUGUCAUCCCUGUGAUACCAGUAAGUGUCAUGUCAGCACCCGUGUGUGUCCUUUUUUUUUGGUGUCGGUAAACACCAUUGUUUCGGUGUCGGUAAACAUCGAGUCUCAUUCCAGUCAUCGGUAAAUGUUUGAUCGUCCUUUUUUUGGUGUCGGUAAACACCAUUGUUUCGGUGUCGGUAAACAUCGAGUCUUUCUCCCAGUCAUCGGUAAAUGUCUGGUCUUGAUUCACUUUUGUACGCAUCAUCUUUCGAUGUCGGUAAACAUUGUAUCUCUUCCCAGUCAUCCGUUGAUGUCUGGUCACCUCUCCGUUGGUGUCGAUAAACGUUGAGCUUCUCCCGUUCGUCCGUUGACGUCUGGUCGAGUCUUCCCGGUCAUCCGUUGAUGUCUGGUCACCUCUCGUUGGUGUCGAUAAACGUCGAGUUUUUCCCAUUCGUCCGUUGACGUCUGGUUGUAUCUCUUCCCAUUCAUCCGUUGAUGUCUGGUCACCCUCUCCGUUGGUGUCGAUAAACGUCGAGCUUCUCCCGUUCGUCCGUUGACGUCUGGUCGAGUCUUCCUGGUCAUCCGUUGAUGUCUGGUCACCUCUCCGUUGGUGUCAAUAAACGUCGAGUUUUUCCCAUUCGUCCGUUGACGUCUAGUUGUAUCUCUUCUCAGUCAUCCGUUGAUGUCUGGUCACCUCUCCGCUGGUGUCGAUAAACGUCGAGCUUCUCCCGUUCGUCCGUUGACGUCUGGUCGAGUCUUCCCGGUCAUCCGUUGAUGUCUGGUCACCUCUCCGUUGGUGUCGAUAAACCUCGAGUUUUUCCCAUUCGUCCAUUGACGUCUGGUUGUAUCUCUUCCCAUUCAUCCGUUGAUGUCUGGUCACGCUCUCCGUUGGUGUCGAUAAACGUUGAGCUUCUCCCGUUCGCCCGUUGACGUCUGGUCGAGUCUUCCCGGUCAUUCGUUGAUGUCUGGUCACCUCUCCGUUGGUGUCGAUAAACGUCGAACUUCUCCCGUUCGUUCGUUGACGUCUGGUCGAGUCUUCCUGAUCAUCCGUUGAUGUCUGGUCACCUCUCCGUUGGUGUCGAUAAACGUCGAGUUUUUCCCAUUCGUCCGUUGACGUCUGGUUGUAUCUCUUCCCAUUCAUCCGUUGAUGUCUGGUCACCCUCUCCGUUGGUGUCGAUAAACGUCGAGCUUCUCUCGUUCGUCCGUUGACGUCUGGUCGAGUCUUCCCGGUCAUCCGUUGAUGUCUGGUCACCUCUCCGUUGGUGUCGAUAAACGUCGAGUUUUUCCCAUUCGUCCGUUGACGUCUGGUUGUAUCUCUUUUCAGUCAUCCGUUGAUGUCUGGUCACCUCUCCGUUGGUGUCGAUAAACGUCGAGCUUCUCCCGUUCGUCCGUUGACGUCUGGUCGAGUCUUCCCGGUCAUCCGUUGAUGUCUGGUCACCUCUCCGUUGGUGUCGAUAAACGUCGAGUUUUUCCGAUUCGUCCGUUGACGUCUAGUUGUAUCUCUUCCCAUUCAUCCGUUGAUGUCUGGUCACGCUCUCCGUUGGUGUCGAUAAACGUCGAGCUUCUCCCGUUCGCCCGUUGACGUCUGGUCGAGUCUUCCCGGCCAUCCGUUGAUGUCUGGUCACCUCUCCGUUGGUUUCGAUAAACGUCGAGCUUCUCCCGUUCGUCCGUUGACGUCUGGUCGAGUCUUCCCGGUCAUCCAUUGAUGUCUGGUCACCUCUCCAUUGGUGUCGAUAAACGUCAAGUUUUUCCCAUUCGUCCGUUGACGUCUGGUUGUAUCUCUUCCCAUUCAUCCGUUGAUGUCUAGUCACCUCUCCGUUGGUUUCGGUAAACGUCGAGUUUUUCCUAAUCGUCCGUUGGCGUCUAGUUGUGAUUUCUUUGUUCCCAUCCAUCAUCCUUCGAUGACGGGUCGUGGUUCCUUUUCUGAAAAAAAUCAAAAUCCCUAGUGGAGUCGUUGGUGGACGUCUUGUCGGGUCCAGUGAUAAGUAUCAUAUCCUAGUGGAAGUUGUCGUUGGUGAACUUUCUUUUCUUGGAUCACCGCAGAGUGCAAAUUUCUACGGUUCUUUGGUAUUCAAUCCCUGUGUACCUUGAAGGCCUGACACCCGUUGCUCUCAUCCGUUCAGGUUCCCAUGUGAUUGAAUAGGGGCAGCUGUAGCACCUCAAAUUUGCACCUCCCAUUUGUACAUACAUUUCAUUUUUAGGUCAUUAACAUUGCAUUCACAUUGCAUGUCAUGUUGCAUUUCAUCAGUCAAGACUGAUUAGGAGAUUCAACUAUACAAGGCAACAAGAGCAUUUUUCAUGAGAUCAAAGCCCUAUGGUGGUUCCAAUGAGCUUACAUGACCCAAGGAUCAUUUGGAAGCAAUUUGGCCAAGUGUUGAAAGCUCAAAGUCCACAAUGCAGUUUCAGGACAUCUGGGACCCAUAGAAGUCAACUUCAAAGUCAACUGAGGGCUAGGAGGUGGAGAGAUAGUUUGAGACACUUCCUUCAUGUCCCAAAGAAGUUCAUUUGCCAGUACAAAUACUUAUCUUGAAGAGUUUGAGGUCAGAUCAGAAGUUUCCCAAAAUGGAAAAGUUUUGGUUCAAAUUCAACUUGAUUUUACAUCCUCAAAGAAGAUUCAAAUGAAAUUUUGUCCAACAUGAAAGUUGAAGAUCUUUCUCUCCCAUUUCUAAAAAGUCCAAGAUCAUGAGCAUCUGGUGAAUGGUUGAGAAGUUAUGGCCAGAUGAUUGCACAAUGUCAUACCCUGAAAUUCGCCCCGCCCUUCACGUUGAUCUUAUAGGUCACUAAUACCAAAUAUUUACAUAUCAUCCUCAUUCAUUCAUUUCAUUGAAUAAGCAUGGUUCGCCACAAGCAGGCAUCCUCUUGGCAUCAUGUUAAUAAUGGUUCUGAUUAAUUAUAACUUCGUGUUGAUUUCAAUUUCAAAUUAACGUUUGAAGUUUGAAUUGAUUUUGGAGUUAGAUUUGAUCUUUGAAAAUAAAUUUGGUUUUUGAAAUCAUUUCGUUCCUUUUUCGAAUUAAUUUUGGGAAUUCAAGUUGAGUUGGAUGAUCCAAGUUAAUUACUGAAAAGUUGAUUUGGUUGUGGAAAUUUAAUCGUGAUUGCAUUGAGCCCAUUCUUUUCUUUUUUUGUUAAGUCCAUAAGUUUGGUCCAUUAACCAUUUUCCAAAUUAAUCCAUGUUUCUUAAUCCAUUUUUAAAUCCUUAACCAUUUUUACCACAUAUCCAAAUUCAUUUUAUAAUAAUUCAAUCAUAUUAUCCAUUUACAAUCCAUUAUCCAUUUCUACAAUAUAAUUCAUAACCUUUUUUCCAUUAAGUAAUAAAAAGAAGAAUGAUAAGGAGGUGAGCUACAAGCUUCUAAAGCUGCAGUACAGGCUACGGUAAGCGGCAACACGCUUCCAAAAGCUGCAACAAAACAACAACAAGCUCCGACCUGCAGAGCGCAAAAUGGCACCAAACCAAGCCUGAAGCGGUGCAAAACGACGAGCCACCAAGCUAGAACAAUGAUUCAAGCCACAAGAUUCAACAACAGCUUAACAGCUUUUUAAAGACGGCAAGGUGAGCCAAACAGCAAGCUUCAAAAAGCUGCAUAAUUCCAAAGCUUCGAGCCAAACACAAGCCACAAAAUUGAAGUGCAACACACCAGCCGAGCCAACACCAAACUGCACAAGCCAAUACCAAAACCUGCAUGAAGAGCGGCAAAAGAAAUUGAAUAACAUAAAAAACAAACUUCUAAUCUCACUCUCCAUCACUCUAUAAAUUCAUCAAUCUUCACCUAUCUCAAGUUUUUUUUCUUCCAGCUUCUUCUUCAACCAAAACCCUCUUACAGCCUCCAUAACCGUAAUUUCCAUUCCUUCAACCUCAAUUCUUCAACCAUUGCGAAUCCGUAACCGUAACCGUAAUCUCCAUUGGCCAAACCUUCAACCAUUGGGAAUCCGUAACCGUAACCGUAAUCUCCGUUCACCGAACCAUCUUCAACCUUCAUCUUCCAAUCUUCGAUAAAUGAAAUAGUCUCCAAUUCGUCCUCCACUGAAACCACAAUCCUAACGGAAUCAAACGCGCCAUAACAGAAAGAGAAGAAAUCGAAAGUCAUUUGGAAAAUUCGAUACCUAUUCAAUUCGGUGAGUCUUCAAGUUGCUUGCUAUUUCAUUUUUGUUCCGGAUCAUUCAAACGAUAACAGAUCGAGUCGAAUUUGAUGCUAUGAACUUUGAAUCCGGUAACUGAUUAACGAACGAAUCAUCUGUUGAAUGUUAUUGAACCGUCGCGAGAUAUGGAUGAGCGUGGCGCUUACCGAUGAAGAAACGUGUACGGACGGAUUUCAAGAUGUGGAGAAUUGUCCGAUGAAAACGGACGUUAACGAUCGUGUGACGAAGGUGAAGAAGUUCAUGAGCAAAUCCUAUUGCGAAGAUGAAGGAAAGGCGAGCGAAAUCGUGACGAAAGAGCCGUCUAUCAAGAACUCGCCGUGUCUUGUUUUCCUUUGGAUUUGGCUUAAGCGAGCCUCGACGGCGGAAGCUGGGGAAAUGGAAGCACGUUUUCACGGCGGCUUCUGUGUUUCGCUUAACAGGAAGAGAAUUUGGGAGCAGGUUUCCCUUGGUUCGGUUUGGGCCUUGGGUGGUCAAGGCCUGGAGUCUUAGGAGUGACCAUACACCACCUCCGAAUCCAGUACACCCCCACUGAAUGGGCCUGGCUUCAAUCCAUCUCAGAACCCAAUUGUUUCUUUUUCUUUUUGUUUACUAAUUAACUUAUAAUUACUUUACUAGAAUAUUUAGUUUAGGAACAUUAGAAUUAAUCAGGUAUUAGGAUUCUUAAUUAGUCAUUAGAAUUAAAUAGUCUUAGGAAUAUUAAACCUUGAUUAAACUUUUAGGAUUUUAGAAUAUUGAUUAGAUUAGUCUAAUAGAAUUUUAGAUAAUUAGUUUUUUUAGAAUUUUAAUUAGGUACUAAAAUUUGGUUAGAAUUUAAUUAGAAAAUAAUUAGAAAUAAUUCUAGGAUUAGAAUAUGUUAGAAAUAAUUUUAGAAAUAUUAAAUCUAGUUUAGAUAUAAUUAGAAUUUUCAUGUAUAGAUAUUAAUCCAUAACUGUGAAAUGACGAUUCUACCCCUAGGCUUAGAAAUAAUUCAAUCUUGCACGCUCCCUUAAUUUUAGGACGUGUUAUUACUUGAUUAAAUGAGCUUCAUGUGGAGUAUUAGGUUCUGUUUUGACUUUUUGAUCCCCUUUUGACCCUAGGCUUGGACCUAGUGGUUUGUUGCUUACAUUUGAGUUGUGGAUUUCAGGUUCAAGUGUGCAUCUUCACGAUUGAUGUUGCUCCCUCAUUUGAGCUUGAUCAUUUGUUCUUGUUGGCUAACAUUGCUUGUUUUGUAGGCUUUGAGGACAAUUCACUUAUGUUUGCUCAUUGUUGCAUGAUGAUUUGGGUUGUCUAUUUGAUAUUGACUGUUAACUGUUUGUCUGGAUUUUGUACUGAUUGGUUGGUUGUUUACACAGGUACUUUAGCCGCUUUAACUCAUUAUUUGAGUUGAUUUGCAUUGCUUGUGGUUUGCAUACCACUGAGGUAUAAUUCCUUGAUCUUCAUGUAGUCUGGAAGACCUGUCAUGUUAUGUUGGCAGGCACUUGUUUGAAGCCCUCCUUAAGAGGCAAUUCUUGUGUUUGUUUAAUUUUGUGCCAAGCAGGUAAAGACCUCUCAAGAGGCAAUUGGCAGAUAAAAGGGAUGUGCAAUCCAUCCUCUGCUAUUCAGUUGUGUCAUUCACUUUGCUCACUGUCAUACCCCAAAAUUUGCCCGUUGGCAUUACCAAACAUUUUCCAAGACCCUCUGACUUGUUCUGCAAGGCACCGGUAUCAAAUGGACAAAAGCCCACUCACAUAAGGCCCAAUCCACAGGCGGCCCAAAACAUCUGGCUCGCUAGGCGAGUAGCUCCUUCGCCUAGCGAACAUUUCAUCAUGUCCCUCGCCCAGCGAAGCAUUGGAUCCAGGAAGAAGCCCAGACCUAGUUUGCUCGCUAGGCGAGCAAUUCCUUCGCCUAGCGAAGCUUGCGAAGUUUGAGAUUUUUGGACCUCAUUUUAAGCCCAUUAGGUCACCACUACCUCUACUAUAAAUACCUACUUCUCUGCCACGAAAAACACACACACAGACGGACGAAGACGGACGGAAACACGCAUCCAGAGGGAGAAACACAGAAACCCUGCUGAUCCAAAGAAUUCAGAAGGCGGAAACCCUGAAGGCCGCUUACUCGCUCCGAAGCUACCGCCGUCCAACUCAAUCCGACUCGCCAAUUCAAGGUUACAACUUGAUUUGCAAACAGGCUAGCAUACUUCCGAAGAAAUAGCCGGUUAGGUACUCCGCUUUACGCAUGGGAAGCCUUCAUGGAGGGGGAUCCUAAAUCAUUUCACUUUAAUGUGAAGAUCCAUAUUGAUUGCCUAAUUAAUUUUACUAUAUUAAUUUUUAAUGUAAUGUUGAUUUUAAUGUAUUGAUUUAAUGCGGUAUCACCAUAAUUACCUAAUGGACUUAAAACAUGGACUUUAAAUAAAUGACAUCGGACCUCUCUUUAUUACCCCACGAUUACAUAAUGCGGUCAUGUCCCGCGAAUAUGGGGAUAUCCUUAGCAAAGACCCUUCGGUAAAAUCAUCAUAGUCCCUCGGAUGUUGCCUUCGAACAUACGAUUUUGUCCCUCGAUGACCCUUCGGUGUAGCCUACGGUUAAAUGAUGAUAGUCCCUUCGAAUGCUAAGGUAUCCUCACAACUGUUGCCUUCAAUGACCUAUCGAUGACCCUACGAUGACCCUUAUACAUCCCCAGGAUAAAACUACUUACUUCUCAAUAGUAAGGACAGUUUUACCCUCAUAAGGAUGGGAAAUGCCCAGAAAGACCUCGGACAGGUAUAACCUUAAUUGCUCAUUCAUAAUAGAAAAAUGCUUUUCACACCCCACACCUUUCAAAUAUCUUUUGGAAAAUCACCACUUAGCAUACAUCCAUACUAGGAUCAUUGCCGAGUUAUAUUUUUCUAAACUACUUUCGAGAAACCAAACGAGAUAACCACUUUGUAUACAUUCGUGCAAGAAUCAUUACAAAGUUAAAUUCUCAUUUUCAAAACAUUUUUCACACAGUUCUCAACCACCUUUUUCAAACUAGAAAACAUAAAUGAUUGAGCAAUUAAGAGCCCAUGGAUAACCAUGGAUACAAAGGGUGCUAAUACCUUCCCUUUGUAUAAAGUACCUCCCGAACCUAAGAAUUUAAAAUUAAGGUCUUUCCUGUUCUUUUCCACCUUUCCUUAAGGGAUAAAAGAAAAGUCGGUGGCGACUCUUGCUAACCGCGACAUUGCGAUUACAAAUCCAAUAAAGUCCAGUUCACCGUAUGACACUCACACACCAUGUAUUGAUGCAUUGUGAAUAAGAACCCAAGAUCUUGUUGUGUCAGUCAUAUGUGGAGAAGAGUUCCUACAUUAUGAACUCCCACACUUUCUAUUUGAGUCAAGCUCUCCCAGGCCAGGGAUAAGAGCUGUGAGGUCUUACCCUCACUUCCCAUUUCAUCUGCUUCACCCUAACUCUCGAUGUUGGGGUUAAGAGCUAACCACACCCUAUUCCAGUUGGCUUGUUUGUCGAGGUUGACAUGACCCCUUGACUAAAGCCUAGUCUUGUGUGAGCCAAUUGUUUGCAUAUAGUGUGUGUGCUUGCUCUUGUGCUUGUGUUUGAUGAUUGUGCUGUUUAGGCUAGCUUGCUUCCUGUGCAAGUGAGGAUAGAGACCUCAACAUAGGGAUCGUAUGCAUGACAACUUCUAGGCUCGAGUCGUAGUCUCCCUAGUAGUCUGUUAUCUCCCUUUGUCUCUGGUUAGGUUAGAAGUUCUUUCCCUGUUUAGGGGAACUACGUCGCCCUGAUCCUCAUGCCAGAUGAGGUACGUAGGCAGGAGAUGAGUUGAUCUCUCCGGGCGCCCUUUUCUUUUUCAACCCCUCUUGUGUGUGUUGGAGUCUGACGUAAGUCCAGCGAUUGGCAGUCGGUUUCCUGUGUCUUGUUUGCUUGUUGGAGUCUGACGUAAGUCCAGCGAUUGGAAGUUGGUUUCCUUUGUGUGUUUGUUGGUUCGGAGUCUGAUGUAAGUCCAGCGAUUGGCAUUCGAUUUCCAUGUUUGCCUGUUUGUGUGGAGUCUGACGUAAGUCCAGCGAUUGGCAGUCGGUUUCCUGUUUGUGUUUUGUUUGGCGUGCGUUAGCCGAGCUACGAGUGCUCUGAUUCUUCUCUGGUUAGAGAAGAUACGUAUGCAUAGGAUGCGACAUCCUAGCGAGCACGUUUCCCCUGUCCCGAACUACGUCGACUCUGAUGUCUGUGCUUAACAGACUACGUAGGCCCAGGAUGCGAUAUCCUGCCGAGUCCUCUUCUUCCGUCUUUCACCUGUG
Molecule: RNA transcript, 13370 nt
Organism: Lathyrus oleraceus (garden pea)
Lineage: Eukaryota; Viridiplantae; Streptophyta; Magnoliopsida; Fabales; Fabaceae
Exons: 2
Source: RefSeq, a predicted model, not a curated record